CCUACGGGUGGCAGCAGUGAGGAAUAUUGGUCAAUGGACGAGAGUCUGAACCAGCCAAGUAGCGUGAAGGAUGACUGCCCUAUGGGUUGUAAACUUCUUUUAUCUGGGAAUAAAAUGUUCCCCGUGUGGGAUUUUGUAUGUACCAUAUGAAUAAGGAUCGGCUAACUCCGUGCCAGCAGCCGCGGUAAUACGGAGAAUCCGAGCGUUAUCCGGAUUUAUUGGGUUUAAAGGGAGCGUAGGUGGAUUGUUAAGUCAGUAGUGAAAGUUUGCGGCUCAACGGGUAAAGUGCAGUUGAAACUGGCAGUCUUGAGUACAGAAGAGGUGGGCGGAAUGCGUGGUGUAGCGGUGAAAUGCUUAGAUAUCACGAAGAACUCCGAUUGCGAAGGCAGUUCACUGGACUGCAACUGACACUGAGGCUCGAAAGUGUGGGUAUCAAACAGGAUUAGAUACCCUAGUAGUC
RNAcentral lists this ribosomal RNA (460 nucleotides) under uncultured bacterium. RNAcentral's name for it is "partial 16S ribosomal RNA". It matches the Rfam family "Bacterial small subunit ribosomal RNA", at positions 338 to 795 of the family's 1533-position model. The record is from RNAcentral.